AGUGAACGCUGGCGGCAGGCCUAAUACAUGCAAGUCGAACGGCAGCACAGCAGAGCUUGCUCUGUGGGUGGCGAGUGGCGGACGGGUGAGGAAUACAUGGGAAUCUGCCCAGUCGUGGGGGAUAACGUAUGGAAACGUACGCUAAUACCGCAUGCGCCCUAAGGGGGAAAGCCGGGGACCGCAAGGCCUGGCGCGAUUGGAUGAGCCCAUGUUCGAUUAGCUAGUUGGCGGGGUAAAGGCCCACCAAGGCGACGAUCGAUAGCUGGUCUGAGAGGAUGAUCAGCCACACUGGAACUGAGACACGGUCCAGACUCCUACGGGAGGCAGCAGUAGGGAAUAUUGGACAAUGGGGGCGAACCCUGAUCCAGCCAUGCCGCGUGAGUGAAGAAGGCCCUCGGGUUGUAAAGCUCUUUUGUCCGGAAAGAAAAGCAAUCGGUUAAUACCCGGUUGUUCUGACGGUACCGGAAGAAUAAGCACCGG
RNAcentral lists this ribosomal RNA (480 nucleotides) under uncultured bacterium. Its description in RNAcentral is "bacterial SSU rRNA". It matches the Rfam family "Bacterial small subunit ribosomal RNA", at positions 29 to 496 of the family's 1533-position model. The record is from RNAcentral.